AGUGGACGCUGGCGGCGUGCUUAACACAUGCAAGUCGAACGAGAACGGGCUAUAGCUUGCUAUAGUUGUCAGCUAAGUGGCGCACGGGUGAGUAAUGUAUAGGUAAUAUGCCUCUUACUAAGGGAUAACAAAUGGAAACGUUUGCUAAUACCUUAUACUCCUAAUUAACAUAAGUUAAUAAGGGAAAGAUUUAUUGGUAAGAGAUUAGCCUGUAUUGUAUCAGUUAGUUGGUGGGGUAAUGGCUUACCAAGACUAUGACACAUAACUGGUUUGAGAGGAUGAUCAGUCACACUGGAACUGAGACACGGUCCAGACUCCUACGGGAGGCAGCAGUGGAGAAUAUUGCACAAUGGACGAAAGUCCGAUGCAGCAACGCCGCGUGGAGGAUGACACAUUUCGGUGUGUAAACUCCUUUUAUAUGAGAAGAUAAUGACGGUAUUAUAUGAAUAAGCACCGGCUAACUCCGUGCCAGCCGCCGCCGUAA
Molecule: ribosomal RNA, 484 nt
Filed under: uncultured bacterium
Lineage: Bacteria
Description: partial 16S ribosomal RNA
Rfam family: Bacterial small subunit ribosomal RNA
Source: RNAcentral